Molecule: ribosomal RNA, 395 nt
Filed under: uncultured bacterium
Lineage: Bacteria
Description: partial 16S ribosomal RNA
Rfam family: Bacterial small subunit ribosomal RNA
Source: RNAcentral
AUACGUAGGGUGCAAGCGUUAAUCGGAAUUACUGGGCGUAAAGCGUGCGCAGGCGGUUUUGUAAGACAGAGGUGAAAUCCCCGGGCUCAACCUGGGAACUGCCUUUGUGACUGCAAGGCUAGAGUACGGCAGAGGGGGAUGGAAUUCCGCGUGUAGCAGUGAAAUGCGUAGAUAUGCGGAGGAACACCGAGGGCGAAGGCAAUCCCCUGGGACUGUACUGACGCUCAUGCACGAAAGCGUGGGGAGCAAACAGGAUUAGAUACCCUGGUAGUCCACGCCCUAAACGAUGUCAACUGGUUGUUGGGUCUUAACUGACGCAGUAACGAAGCUAACGCGUGAAGUUGACCGCCUGGGGAGUACGGCCGCAAGGUUGAAACUCAAAUGAAUUGACGGGG